Podarcis lilfordi (Lilford's wall lizard) is the source of this 339-nucleotide non-coding RNA. The record is from the annotation of a GenBank genome assembly. Lineage: Eukaryota; Metazoa; Chordata; Lepidosauria; Squamata; Lacertidae.
CCUGGAUGACUCAAACCCAGAGCUUCCCUCAAUGAGCCUCCAAAAAGGGGGUGUCUACGAUUGGCAGGACGCCGGGGGAAGAGGGGCUGGAGUCUGGCUUGAAAGAGGGGGGCAGUGAUUUGUGGGGAACUGGGCCAGUCGGGAGGCAAGAGUCAGAAGCAGGGGACGCUUCAGAGCUGGAGGAAGAGGAGGAUGAGGCAGGCCAGGGAAGGGCCAGGGGCUUCCCCACCUUCUCCUGAACCUCCAUCUCCCAGAACCAGGACCGGACUGAAGAGGGAAGAGCAAAACAAGGAUUAUUGGGGGGUAAUUAUCCUUGCAAUUUUCACCCAGAGACAGGAG